CCCUUAGAUGUUCUGGGCCGCACGCGCGCUACACUGACGAAUGCAACGAGCUUAUAACCUUGGCCGAAAGGUCUGGGUAAUCUCCAAAUUUCGUCGUGAUGGGGAUAGAUUAUUGCAAUUAUUAAUCUUCAACGAGGAAUGCCUAGUAAGCGCAAGUCAUCAGCUUGCGUUGAUUACGUCCCUGCCCUUUGUACACACCGCCCGUCGCUCCUACCGAUUGAACGGUUUAGUGAGGGCAUCGGACUGGUCUCGGCCCGCCCUUCACCGGUGCGGCGCCGCCGGCCGGGAAGACGCUCGAACUUGAUCGUUUAGAGGAAGUAAAAGUCGUAACA
This 332-nucleotide ribosomal RNA is filed under the name uncultured eukaryote. Its description in RNAcentral is "partial 18S ribosomal RNA". It matches the Rfam family "Eukaryotic small subunit ribosomal RNA", at positions 1470 to 1796 of the family's 1831-position model. The record is from RNAcentral.